UGCGUAGGCGGAAUAUUAAGUCAGUGGUGAAAUCCUGCGGCUCAACCGUAGAACUGCCAUUGAUACUGAUAUUCUUGAAUGUAGUUGAGGUAGGCGGAAUGUGUAAUGUAGCGGUGAAAUGCUUAGAUAUUACACAGAACACCGAUUGCGAAGGCAGCUUACUAAACUAUGAUUGACGCUGAGGCACGACAGCGUGGGGAGCGAACAGGAUUAGAUACCCUGGUAGUCC
This 229-nucleotide ribosomal RNA is filed under the name uncultured bacterium. RNAcentral's name for it is "partial 16S ribosomal RNA". It matches the Rfam family "Bacterial small subunit ribosomal RNA", at positions 568 to 796 of the family's 1533-position model. The record is from RNAcentral.